This 269-nucleotide ribosomal RNA is filed under the name uncultured bacterium. Its description in RNAcentral is "partial 16S ribosomal RNA". It matches the Rfam family "Bacterial small subunit ribosomal RNA", at positions 84 to 353 of the family's 1533-position model. The record is from RNAcentral.
UUUGAUGGCGACCGGCGCACGGGUGAGUAACACGUAUCCAACCUGCCGAUGACUCGGGGAUAGCCUUUCGAAAGAAAGAUUAAUACCCGAUGGCAUAGUUCUUCCGCAUGGUAGAACUAUUAAAGAAUUUCGGUCAUCGAUGGGGAUGCGUUCCAUUAGGUUGUUGGCGGGGUAACGGCCCACCAAGCCUUCGAUGGAUAGGGGUUCUGAGAGGAAGGUCCCCACAUUGGAACUGAGACACGGUCCAAACUCCUACGGGAGGCAGCAUG